Molecule: ribosomal RNA, 560 nt
Filed under: Klebsiella variicola
Lineage: Bacteria; Pseudomonadati; Pseudomonadota; Gammaproteobacteria; Enterobacterales; Enterobacteriaceae
Description: bacterial SSU rRNA
Rfam family: Bacterial small subunit ribosomal RNA
Source: RNAcentral
UGGGAAACUGCCUGAUGGAGGGGGAUAACUACUGGAAACGGUAGCUAAUACCGCAUAACGUCGCAAGACCAAAGUGGGGGACCUUCGGGCCUCAUGCCAUCAGAUGUGCCCAGAUGGGAUUAGCUGGUAGGUGGGGUAACGGCUCACCUAGGCGACGAUCCCUAGCUGGUCUGAGAGGAUGACCAGCCACACUGGAACUGAGACACGGUCCAGACUCCUACGGGAGGCAGCAGUGGGGAAUAUUGCACAAUGGGCGCAAGCCUGAUGCAGCCAUGCCGCGUGUGUGAAGAAGGCCUUCGGGUUGUAAAGCACUUUCAGCGGGGAGGAAGGCGGUGAGGUUAAUAACCUCAUCGAUUGACGUUACCCGCAGAAGAAGCACCGGCUAACUCCGUGCCAGCAGCCGCGGUAAUACGGAGGGUGCAAGCGUUAAUCGGAAUUACUGGGCGUAAAGCGCACGCAGGCGGUCUGUCAAGUCGGAUGUGAAAUCCCCGGGCUCAACCUGGGAACUGCAUUCGAAACUGGCAGGCUAGAGUCUUGUAGAGGGGGGGUAGAAUUCCAGG